This is a long non-coding RNA of Acanthopagrus latus (yellowfin seabream), 332 nucleotides long. RefSeq lists it as uncharacterized. The transcript is spliced from 4 exons. NCBI's taxonomy places the organism in Eukaryota, Metazoa, Chordata, Actinopteri, Spariformes, Sparidae. The record is from RefSeq and is a predicted model, not a curated record.
GUUGUUUCUCUGUAGUCUCUCUCAGUUUUUGGUUUCAUCCUGGAGUUUAUUCCCCAGGGGACACAGAAGUGUCGGAUCAGCAGUUUACAGUGGAACCGCGGCAGCACUCGAUGUCAGGUCAGGUUCAACGGUCACGGUCUGGGGUCACAGUUUCCACUCGUCAUUAACCCUCGGCGACCCUGCAGCACAGGAGCUGUCAUCAGGAGCCUCACACUCACCUCGCAGGUUUCAAUGCAGUACACAAGUUUGACCAUCAAAUAGCAGAUGCUGGCAAAAGAAGAAGAAGGAGAAGAAAAAGAAGUCUUUAACAUUAAACAACCAUAACUGAUGAU